UACGUAGGUCCCGAGCGUUAUCCGGAUUUAUUGGGCGUAAAGCGAGCGCAGGCGGUUAGAUAAGUCUGAAGUUAAAGGCUGUGGCUUAACCAUAGUAUGCUUUGGAAACUGUUUGACUUGAGUACAGAAGGGGAGAGUGGAAUUCCAUGUGUAGCGGUGGAAUGCGUAGAUAUAUGGAGGAACACCGGUGGCGAAAGCGGCUCUCUGGUCUGUAACUGACGCUGAGGCUCGAAAGCGUGGGUAGCGAA
Molecule: ribosomal RNA, 248 nt
Filed under: uncultured Streptococcus sp.
Lineage: Bacteria; Bacillati; Bacillota; Bacilli; Lactobacillales; Streptococcaceae
Description: partial 16S ribosomal RNA
Rfam family: Bacterial small subunit ribosomal RNA
Source: RNAcentral